CCUAUCAGUCUUGUUGUUAAUUUUUUUAUUGAUUAAUCAGCAGUAUUUAUUUUCUAAAAUGUUCAAAUCUGAAUCAUGUCACCUCAAAGAAAUCUUUAAUACAUUUUCUCAGACUUUGCCAUAAGAAACUAUGUUCAUGAGCAACAUUUGUGUUAUAUCUGUGGGAAUAUUGCUGCAGGCAGCUUCCAGAUUGUGUGCACCCAGCACACUCCCAAUCAAUCCUUAUAUCCACAGCAGAACAAGCAUACAUGCCAUACAGUUCAGAGAGCAAAAAUGGAUGGCUUGAUAUUUAGUUGUUAACGAUCAGCAAACAUCAAAAAUGUAGCACAAGGCAGACGGGAGGGAGAGGGAGAGGGAGAGGCAGAGAGGGGGGCAUGAUGUCUGUCUGUCUGUCUAACAGCACACAACUGAUUGGUUAUUAGCAUGGAGAGGCCAAAGAAAUGGCUUUUGGUAAUUGCAGCUUUAAUUCCUUACAUAGAAUAACAAUACAUAGCGGUAGCAGAAUAAAGAUGGAAACAGUAUACUAGGAGCCUUCCUCUAUUCCACACCAUUAAAGAAACAAUUUGGUGGACAAGCUGAAUGUAUCCAACAAUAUUCACGAUGACAAUAAUGAAUCAUCUUAUCUUGUCAUCUGGAAGUAUAUCUAUUUCCUUUCUUAAAGCAAUAUCUUGGUUCUGCUCUCAUCUCUUUCUCAUUCCCUUCCAUCUGUUCUUUUUCUCUCAGCAUGGAGAAAUAAACUGACAUUUUCCCAGAUGAUUAGUUUAUUAGAUGGCUAAAAAGUAUUUUGACUUUAAGCCAUGUAUAAAUCACAAAAUCAGAAAGGAUCAAACAGUAGCAUUAAGAGCAGGAUAAUUCCUGUAUUUCAUAGCGUAUUUUACUGCAAGUUGUCACAUAACAUAACAUUUAAGCUGAAUAAUGCAACCAGUUUGCUCAACCAAGAAAGCCCAAAUGUGUAAAUUAGGAUCUUCAGCAAAAUUGGUCUUAAUAUAAACAGACUGUACAUGUUUGUAAGGCACAUCUGCAGGGACCAUUUAUUUAUGUGAAUAUCGGAAAUGUUAGAUGACUAAUGAUGGAAAAAUUGUCUCUAUAUAAAAUUUUGCUAAAACCUAAAUAUAUACCAAGAGACAUCCCAUCUAUAUAUGACAUCCCAUAAAAUGUUAUUCUAGCAUAAACAUGUGUAUCUCUUUCCUAACCUUUAUUACAGUAUGUUUCUACUACAAAACUAAAGAGCAGAGUGCUGAAAAGAUAUAAAGAGUGCAUGAAAGAGAGUACAUAGUGAAGGUAAAAACAAUUGGCAACUAUCAAUAGUUCUGAUUUAUGUCCCUGCUUCUUCUCUACAAUUACAGUGUAUGCAACAUACAACAGAUUCUUUUGCACUGAAGCAAACCCUGCCUGGGCCAGAAUUUCUCCAACACACAUUGAGAAGAAAGAAGAGAAAUACAGGCCUUUUCUUUCUCGUCAUCUGGAAACCCUUCCUUCCACAAACAGGAAACCAGGGUAUUCUCAUUUGGGGAAUGAAAUCUUUGUCCUGCUGAAAUUGUGAACUCUCCCAUGCUUUAAGCACUGUUUCUCAGCCUCUGCAAUUCUUAGGAUAUGUGGACUUCCAUUCCCAGAAUUCUCCUGCCAGACUGCACAACAUAAAAUUGCUGGGUUUUUUAAACUCUGUCUUACAGAAUGACGUAAAGAGCUCUUUGAUCGGUUGGUGGAUAGAAGAAUAGGCAGUGAAAGUUCCUUUUAGAGACAGUCCCAUAGCCCAUAAAAUGACUUGAAAAUAUAUCUUCCCCAGCCUGCCUAUUGGUACCAGGUUGAGGAAUGUUAUAUUUUUUCAUUUGCUCUAUGAUUAUGAUUGCUUAAAAUACUUAAAAUAGUUGGUGGAGGAACAAAAUGCAGAUUUGUUGAAAAAUAUGUGUUAGUACUGUUUUUUAGAAGUCCAGUUUUUCACAAGGGAAUUUGGUGAUUUUCUUAUUACUGGUAUCUGGAAAAACAUUUUCAUAUUGUUCAAGUAUAGCCGUCUAAUCUGGUUUCCCACAUCUGCUUCUGUCUGACAUUUCUGAUGAAACUCGGGCAGCCUAUCUCAAAACAACAGGCUCAUCCCGCCCCCUGCCUCCUUCCACAACCCUACAUCUGCCACUUACUCACACUCCACUGCAAAGUAAAACAAUAGUUUCCUUUCCUCGUUGACUAAUCUAGCGUUCCUGACUGCUGCCUAUGGCUGUGGUGUUUGAUAAAGGAAUACAUCAAGAUACACUUGCAUUCUCCUUCCAACGAAGGUUUAUUUUCCUUCCGUUCAAUCAUGUCCAAUUUUCAGAGACUGCUUGGACGUGGUGUCAAAUGAGAUAGGGACAUGUUCACCUUGACAGCAGACCAGCACUAACUGCAGGGAAGGUGAAUGCAAAGAAGAUGGA
Long non-coding RNA from Ahaetulla prasina, 2405 nucleotides. RefSeq lists it as uncharacterized. Lineage: Eukaryota; Metazoa; Chordata; Lepidosauria; Squamata; Colubridae. The record is from RefSeq and is a predicted model, not a curated record. The transcript is spliced from 4 exons.